AAGUCGUAACAAGGUUUCCGUAGGUGAACCUGCGGAAGGAUCAUUACUGAGUUAGGGUCUUCCAGGCCCGAUCUCCAACCCUUUGUAUAACUACCAUGUUGCUUUGGCGGGCCCGUCUUUAACCGGACCGCCGGAAGUUUUUAACCCCUGGCCAGUGCUCGUCAAUAGCCCUUAAUAAACUCUUUUAACCAUGUUAAUUCUGAAAAUAUCUAAAUAAACUAAAACUUUCAACAACGGAUCUCUUGGUUCUG
RNAcentral lists this unclassified non-coding RNA (251 nucleotides) under Cladophialophora sp. RNAcentral's name for it is "partial contains small subunit ribosomal RNA, internal transcribed spacer 1, and 5.8S ribosomal RNA". The stretch from base 1 to 46 matches the Rfam family "Eukaryotic small subunit ribosomal RNA", at positions 1786 to 1831 of the family's 1831-position model. The record is from RNAcentral. Lineage: Eukaryota; Fungi; Ascomycota; Eurotiomycetes; Chaetothyriales; Herpotrichiellaceae.